UUUGAGAAUUGAGAGUGGGUUUGUGAAGAAAUUGAGAUGCUGAAAGGGAGAAAGGUUUCAGGGCGGGGAGAGGCAGUUGCAGCCACAUACGCCUUCGGUCCCGCCGAAGAUGACGUCAUCAUCAAACACAGGCUUCUCACUCGCACAACAACAACGAGGGGCGAGCCUCCAUUGAAGAAGCUUCAGAAGAAGUUCACCGCUUUCGUCUCCGAGAUUGAAAAGGACGACGCCGACAACUACAGCGACUGCGAUAAGCUCGCGAGAGCGUUCUUGCAGGAGCUCACGACUUUCGAGAUCCCGCUUCUGAAGAGCAAAGCCAUUGUUGAUGCAAAUAUCAGAGAGCAGGAGAAUUUCAACGAGCUCAAGGACGAAACGAAUCGACAGAUCUUGAUAGCGCAGAACGACAUUGAAGAUCUUAAGAAGCUUCUGGAAGAGAGUAAAGUUGAGAGACGGCAUAAAGAAGAGUGUGAGGCUAUCAGGAAAUUGAUUGCUCAGCAACCGCCAAGGUCAGAGACGCAGAAGCUCAUUACGCAGUUGGAGAAAGAAAUCAUGGCGUUGGACAUGGAGAAUACUGCUGGUUCCAGAUUGUUGGAGCUUCGGAAGAAGCAAUUCGCUCUUUUGUUGCAUGUGGUGGAUGAGUUGCAGAACACGAUAGAGGAAGAGCAGAAGAAUCUGGUCGAGGAGAUGAGAAUAGCAACCGAGGAACUUAAGAAUGGGAUGGAGAAUGGAAGUGGAGGCUCAGAAGCAAUGACAAUUGACCAGUAACUAGGUUCGGUCUCAAUCUUGCUGUUGUAACAUCAUCUACUCUUUAAGAAGCAAACAUGGAGUUUCCCCCCCUAAGGCUUUGAAGAUUUUGGUCGUCAAAAUGGUCAUAGUGAGCAUUACCUCCUUUGGUGUUCCUUAUUUGACGUAUAUGAUGAUUAGCAUCACCAAAGAGCAGGUUAACAAACAUUGCAUCAUAUUCAAUAAUUCAAACUCAGCAUGGACAGCAUAGAUAUUAUAUGGCCUUACUCAAUUGGCUUUGCCUUUGCAACAUCUAAUUGACUAUCCCCCAGAAAGGAUAAUUUUUUUAUAAAAUUAUAAUUAAAUCUUUAUCCAUAUCUACAAGCAAGUGUCGUGUGCAAAGAGGAAGGCCUGUUAAUCACGUAGAAAGACGCAAUAAUCAACGUGAAAUCAUAUUAUUGGUAAUCAACUUGAUUUGGUAAACAGAGAAAAUAGCUACGUGUUUGUGUGGCUUUUAUAAGAAUCUAAUUCUGAUAGAUUUCUAGUAUUAAAAAUUCAAAACAAGUCAUCUAUUUAUUUAUUUAAUUUAAUAUUUAAUCAUAUAUCAAUAUCAAUAUAUUAGUAAAGUAUCCCACUUGCAUAAUUUUUAUGUUACAAUAUCAUAUAACAUGACACGUGGACAAUAAAAAGAAACUACUAAGAAAGUUGAUUAAUCUCUUCUAAUAAUAUUUAUAAUUGUGCUCCCCCGUCAAUGUUGUAGUUUAUAAUUUAUAUUGUAUUUGCCUUCUCAAAAAUUAACAAAUAGGAGGUAGUAGCAAACUUCAACAUAAGGCAAUAAGCACUCUAAAAAAAGGGUAUUAUCAUUUAUCAAAGCCAUAUAUAAUGUGUUGUUGUUGCUCUGAUGAGGACCGAAAAUGCAGGCCUAUUGGGUUUCUGUUAGGCCUACCUUUUGCUUUCGUUUCUCUCCUAAUCUCCCUUGUGGGUGUCAUUGUUUGGAUCGUUGGGUUGAUUUUGACAUGCAUAUGCCCAUGUUGCCUUUGUGUGACCCUCAUAGUUGAGUUUGCUCUGGCUUUGAUCAAGGCUCCAUUUUCAGUCAUGGAGUGGUUCACCUCUAAGAUUCCAUGUUAGAGAUAUUUGUAUCAUAUGAAGUCUUUGAAGUAGUGGUGAAUAUGAUAGCAAUCCACCGUAUAUUCUUUUGUUAAUUCGUGUAUUCAAUUUCUUUGAUUAUGGUUUGAUAAAUAUAUAGUGCUCAUCAUGAAACAACUCUUGGUUGUAAAAUCCUGUAUGCCAAAAUCUGAAUUUGAAAGUAGGGUUCUUGUUUUUUGUUGCCUUUUUUUGGCAAGAACUAAAGAAAAUUAUUUGUAUUUAAAGAUUACAAUAUUGUGUCUA
This is a non-coding RNA of Arachis ipaensis, 2112 nucleotides long. NCBI's taxonomy places the organism in Eukaryota, Viridiplantae, Streptophyta, Magnoliopsida, Fabales, Fabaceae. The record is from RefSeq and is a predicted model, not a curated record.